GGCUUAAUGAAAAUAAUUUUAAGUCGAUCUGCCCAAUGAUUAAUAAUUUAAUGGCUGCAGUAUAAUUAACUGUACUAAGGUAGCAUAGUCAAUUGUUUUUUAAUUGGAAACUGGAAUGAAAGAAUUAAUGAGAUAUAUACUGUCUCAUAUAUAUGUGAUUAAUUUAAAUUUUUAGUAAAAAUGCUAAAAUGGAUUUAUGGGACGAUAAGACCCUAUAGAAUUUUAUAUUAAAAUUUAGAUUAUUGUGAAAUUUUAAUUUUUAAUAUUUGAUUGGGAGGAUUAAUAAAUUUAAGUAACUUUAUUUUAAAAUUAAACUUUGAUUAAAGAAUUGUUUAUGAUUUUGUAUUAUAGAUUAUAAGAAAAAAUUACCUUAGGGAUAACAGCGUAAUAUCUUUUUAAAGAUCAAAUUGAUAAAGAUGAUUGCGACCUCGAUGUUGAAUUAAGAUAAAUUUUAAAUGUAGAAGUUUAAUAAUUAAGUCUGUUCGACUUUUAAAAUCUUACAUGAUUUGAGUUCAAAUCGACGUGAGU
RNAcentral lists this ribosomal RNA (528 nucleotides) under Bombus baeri. RNAcentral describes it as "partial 16S ribosomal RNA". It matches the Rfam family "Bacterial large subunit ribosomal RNA", at positions 1832 to 2626 of the family's 2925-position model. Lineage: Eukaryota; Metazoa; Arthropoda; Insecta; Hymenoptera; Apidae. The record is from RNAcentral.